AAUAACCAGCAUCUGGCAAUGUUCUCGUGACAACUCUCUGAUAUAACUUAUUACCUAAAAGCAAAACAGACAGAUCUUCCAGGACAUGGCCGUAGUAGGGGGCAGUGGUGUGUGUUUUGAAGUCCCCCCUCCCUGAUUACCACUGCCUGGGAGGGGGGACCUCUCCUCACUUUAUUAAUUAUAUAAACGUAUAAGAUAAAAUAGUCUCUGUGGCGAAACCGACCUCGCCACUGGGCAUUGGAGAAGACUGAUUGCUAGCCUCCUGCCAUGUGACUAUGGCCCCUGGGAUGUAUUGCCCUUUAAAGACAUGAUUUGGGCAUAAGGGAUUUGUGUUGUGCUGCUGCUGGCCCUUUAAGAACCAUCUGGGGACAUACUGUGGAGUUACUGGGUGGCCACCAUUUCCUGUAUCAGAGGCACAUGGUGAGAACAAUGGAUGGCGGCCAUUUUAACUCACAGACACUGUUUGGACUUUUCAACACGGUGCCAUCUCGCCAGUAUUUGGUGCACAGAGACAUCGAGCAGUGGUUUUGAACUAUACAGCAGGGGAC
This is a non-coding RNA of Pelobates cultripes (western spadefoot toad), 548 nucleotides long. Lineage: Eukaryota; Metazoa; Chordata; Amphibia; Anura; Pelobatidae. The record is from the annotation of a GenBank genome assembly.